This 130-nucleotide unclassified non-coding RNA is filed under the name Oryza sativa (Asian cultivated rice). RNAcentral describes it as "partial microRNA MIR472a-36 precursor". Lineage: Eukaryota; Viridiplantae; Streptophyta; Magnoliopsida; Poales; Poaceae. The record is from RNAcentral.
UUCACGAUGUAAGUCAUUCUAGCAUUUCCCACAUUCAUAUUGAUGUUAAUGAAUCUAGAUAGAUAUAUAUGUCUAGAUUCAUUAACAUCAAUAUGAAUGUGGGAAAUGCUAGAAUGACUUACAUUGUGAA